This 496-nucleotide ribosomal RNA is filed under the name uncultured bacterium. RNAcentral's name for it is "partial 16S ribosomal RNA". It matches the Rfam family "Bacterial small subunit ribosomal RNA", at positions 28 to 506 of the family's 1533-position model. The record is from RNAcentral.
GAUGAACGCUGGCGGCGUGCCUAAUACAUGCAAGUCGAGCGAACGGAUGAGAAGCUUGCUUCUCUGAUGUUAGCGGCGGACGGGUGAGUAACACGUGGAUAACCUACCUAUAAGACUGGGAUAACUUCGGGAAACCGGAGCUAAUACCGGAUAAUAUUUUGAACCGCAUGGUUCAAAAGUGAAAGACGGUCUUGCUGUCACUUAUAGAUGGAUCCGCGCUGCAUUAGCUAGUUGGUAAGGUAACGGCUUACCAAGGCAACGAUGCAUAGCCGACCUGAGAGGGUGAUCGGCCACACUGGAACUGAGACACGGUCCAGACUCCUACGGGAGGCAGCAGUAGGGAAUCUUCCGCAAUGGGCGAAAGCCUGACGGAGCAACGCCGCGUGAGUGAUGAAGGUCUUCGGAUCGUAAAACUCUGUUAUUAGGGAAGAACAUAUGUGUAAGUAACUGUGCACAUCUUGACGGUACCUAAUCAGAAAGCCACGGCUAACUACGU